Molecule: ribosomal RNA, 465 nt
Filed under: Vreelandella stevensii
Lineage: Bacteria; Pseudomonadati; Pseudomonadota; Gammaproteobacteria; Oceanospirillales; Halomonadaceae
Description: partial 16S ribosomal RNA
Rfam family: Bacterial small subunit ribosomal RNA
Source: RNAcentral
CCUACGGGGGGCUGCAGUGGGGCAUAUUGGACAAUGGGGGGAACCCUGAUCCAGCCAUGCCGCGUGUGUGAAGAAGGCCCUCGGGUUGUAAAGCACUUUCAGUGAGGAAGAACGCCUGGUGGUUAAUACCCAUCAGGAAAGACAUCACUCACAGAAGAAGCACCGGCUAACUCCGUGCCAGCAGCCGCGGUAAUACGGAGGGUGCGAGCGUUAAUCGGAAUUACUGGGCGUAAAGCGCGCGUAGGUGGCUUGAUAAGCCGGUUGUGAAAGCCCCGGGCUCAACCUGGGAACGGCAUCCGGAACUGUCAAGCUAGAGUGCAGGAGAGGAAGGUAGAAUUCCCGGUGUAGCGGUGAAAUGCGUAGAGAUCGGGAGGAAUACCAGUGGCGAAGGCGGCCUUCUGGACUGACACUGACACUGAGGUGCGAAAGCGUGGGUAGCAAACAGGAUUAGAUACCCUUGUAGUC